AGGCCUGUAGCUUAAUGGUAAAACAUCUCCUUUGGGUCUGUCGUGGAAAGUACCUCUGCGCAGUUGAUGUACGUUCAAAUCGUGCCGGGUCUA
Non-coding RNA from Tulasnella sp. JGI-2019a, 93 nucleotides. The record is from the annotation of a GenBank genome assembly. Lineage: Eukaryota; Fungi; Basidiomycota; Agaricomycetes; Cantharellales; Tulasnellaceae.